This is a non-coding RNA of Danio rerio (zebrafish), 87 nucleotides long. Lineage: Eukaryota; Metazoa; Chordata; Actinopteri; Cypriniformes; Danionidae. The record is from Rfam.
CCUUCGAUAGCUCAGUUGGUAGAGCGGAGGACUGUAGUUGGGAUGUUGGCAAUCCUUAGGUCGCUGGUUCGACUCUGGCUCGAAGGA